GGGGGCGUUCCUGGAUUCGACGGGGAUGACAAGACUCCAGGUGCAUGUCGAGGAUGAAAGAACCUCGUAAAUCCCUUUCAAAUCAAUAGUUGCAAACGACGACAACUACGCUUUAGCGGCUUAAUUCCCGCUGACGCUC
Molecule: transfer-messenger RNA, 139 nt
Filed under: Cardiobacterium sp.
Lineage: Bacteria; Pseudomonadati; Pseudomonadota; Gammaproteobacteria; Cardiobacteriales; Cardiobacteriaceae
Description: partial transfer-messenger RNA
Rfam family: transfer-messenger RNA
About the family: Bacterial tmRNA, also known as 10Sa RNA or SsrA, is named for its dual tRNA and mRNA-like properties.
Source: RNAcentral